RNAcentral lists this ribosomal RNA (468 nucleotides) under uncultured bacterium. RNAcentral describes it as "partial 16S ribosomal RNA". It matches the Rfam family "Bacterial small subunit ribosomal RNA", at positions 28 to 507 of the family's 1533-position model. The record is from RNAcentral.
GACGAACGCUGGCGGCGUGCUUAACACAUGCAAGUCGAACGGAAAGGCCCUGCUUUUGUGGGGUGCUCGAGUGGCGAACGGGUGAGUAACACGUGAGUGACCUGCCCCUGACUUUGGGAUAACUUCAGGAAACUGGGGCUAAUACCGGAUAGGAGCUCCUGCUGCAUGGUGGGGGUUGGAAAGUUUCGGCGGUUGGGGAUGGACUCGCGGGGUAUCAGCUUGUUGGUGGGGUAGUGGCUUACCAAGGCUUUGACGGGUAGCCGGCCUGAGAGGGUGACCGGCCACAAUGGGACUGAGAUACGGCCCAGACUCCUACGGGAGGCAGUAGUGGGGAAUAUUGCACAAUGGGCGGAAGCCUGAUGCAGCAACGCCGCGUGCGGGAUGACGGCCUUCGGGUUGUAAACCGCUUUCGCCUGUGACGAAGCGUGAGUGACGGUAAUGGGUAAAGAAGCACCGGCUAACUACGUG